CCUACGGGAGGCAGCAGUGGGGAAUAUUGGACAAUGGGCGAAAGCCUGAUCCAGCAAUGCCGCGUGAGUGAUGAAGGCCUUCGGGUCGUAAAGCUCUUUUACCAGGGAUGAUAAUGACAGUACCUGGAGAAUAAGCUCCGGCUAACUCCGUGCCAGCAGCCGCGGUAAUACGGAGGGAGCUAGCGUUGUUCGGAAUUACUGGGCGUAAAGAGUACGUAGGCGGUUAUUCAAGUCAGAGGUGAAAGCCCGGGGCUCAACCCCGGAACUGCCUUUGAAACUAGAUAACUAGAGUCUUGGAGAGGUUAGUGGAAUUCCGAGUGUAGAGGUGAAAUUCGUAGAUAUUCGGAAGAACACCAGUGGCGAAGGCGACUAACUGGACAAGUACUGACGCUGAGGUACGAAAGCGUGGGGAGCAAACAGGAUUAGAUACCCUGGUAGUCCACGCCGUAAACGAUGAUAACUAGUUGUUCGGUCACUUGGUGACUGAGUGACGCAGCUAACGCAUUAAGUUAUCCGCCUGGGGAGUACGGUCGCAAGAUUAAAACUCAAAGGAAUUGACGGCUGAAGCNGCGAGCGACACGAGGAGAG
This 588-nucleotide ribosomal RNA is filed under the name uncultured bacterium. RNAcentral describes it as "bacterial SSU rRNA". It matches the Rfam family "Bacterial small subunit ribosomal RNA", at positions 338 to 943 of the family's 1533-position model. The record is from RNAcentral.